AUUGAACGCUGGCGGAAUGCUUUACACAUGCAAGUCGAACGGUAGAGGGGGCAACCCCUCGAGAGUGGCGAACGGGUGAGUAAUAUAUCGGAACGUGCCCAGUCGUGGGGGAUAACGUAGCGAAAGUUACGCUAAUACCGCAUACGAUCUAUGGAUGAAAGCGGGGGAUCGCAAGACCUCGCGCGAUUGGAGCGGCCGAUAUCAGAUUAGGUAGUUGGUGGGGUAAAGGCUCACCAAGCCAACGAUCUGUAGCUGGUCUGAGAGGACGACCAGCCACACUGGAACUGAGACACGGUCCAGACUCCUACGGGAGGCAGCAGUGGGGAAUUUUGGACAAUGGACGCAAGUCUGAUCCAGCCAUUCCGCGUGCAGGAUGAAGGCCCUCGGGUUGUAAACUGCUUUUGUACGGAACGAAAAGGUUUCUCUUAAUACGAGGAGCUCAUGACGGUACCGUAAGAAUAAGCACCGGCUAACUACGUGCC
This 482-nucleotide ribosomal RNA is filed under the name uncultured beta proteobacterium. RNAcentral describes it as "bacterial SSU rRNA". It matches the Rfam family "Bacterial small subunit ribosomal RNA", at positions 30 to 509 of the family's 1533-position model. The record is from RNAcentral. Lineage: Bacteria; Pseudomonadati; Pseudomonadota; Betaproteobacteria.